RNAcentral lists this ribosomal RNA (200 nucleotides) under uncultured bacterium. RNAcentral's name for it is "partial 16S ribosomal RNA". It matches the Rfam family "Bacterial small subunit ribosomal RNA", at positions 524 to 722 of the family's 1533-position model. The record is from RNAcentral.
UACGUAGGGUGCGAGCGUUGUCCGGAUUUAUUGGGCGUAAAGGGCUCGUAGGCGGCGUGUCGCGUCGGGAGUGAAAGCCCGCUGCUUAACGGCGGGUUGGCUUCCGGUACGGGCAGUCGCUGGAUGCGGCAGGGGAGACUGGAAUUCCUGGUGUAGCGGUGGAAUGCGCAGAUAUCAGGAGGAACACCGGUGGCGAAGGC